RNAcentral lists this transfer RNA (74 nucleotides) under Chloroflexota bacterium. RNAcentral describes it as "tRNA-Pro". It matches the Rfam family "tRNA". Rfam says of the family: Transfer RNA (tRNA) molecules are approximately 80 nucleotides in length. Their secondary structure includes four short double-helical elements and three loops (D, anti-codon, and T loops). Lineage: Bacteria; Bacillati; Chloroflexota. The record is from RNAcentral.
CGGGGUGUAGCGCAGCCUGGUAGCGCGUCUGGUUUGGGUCCAGAAGGUCGAGAGUUCGAAUCUCUCCACCCCGA